This is a long non-coding RNA of Sinocyclocheilus grahami, 644 nucleotides long. RefSeq lists it as uncharacterized. NCBI's taxonomy places the organism in Eukaryota, Metazoa, Chordata, Actinopteri, Cypriniformes, Cyprinidae. The record is from RefSeq and is a predicted model, not a curated record. The transcript is spliced from 3 exons.
GUGUGUGUGUGUGUGUCAGCGCUGGGCUGCAGUCGGACUCAUUCAGCCGUGACUCUGGGCGACUGGAGUGACCCGUUAGAUCCUGAUGCUGAAACACAGAUCAUUUAUAAAGAGCUGCUGCAGGGCCGAGACAAACUCAGGAAGCAGUACCUGGAGACACAGGAAGUUGAGCCAGCAGAACAGGAAGUGCCGCUGAAGGCCAGUCAGCCGUCAUCAGUGUCUGCGCAGAGCCGAUCCGAGCGCGCUCGAGCCGUCGCCGCUCGUCUGCUGGACGUCGUGCUGGAUUUAGAACGAGCUCAUUCGACCUUCCAGAGCCGAGAGCCAGACGAGAGCCGUCCGCUCAUCCUGAGCUCAUAGAGAGCGUGAGAAACGCUCCAGAGUCACGUUCACCUGCCGUUACUGUUCUUCAGCUUCAGCGCUCAGGAACAAGAACUGAAAAAUCGAAUUAUGCAAUGUUUUGGAAGCAAACUUGAGUUAUUGAUGAAUGUCCGUGGAAAUGUCAAUUUUUACGUAUUUGUACUUAGAAGUGUUUUUAACUUGAUGCGCUGGGCUGAUUUGAUCACAGAUGCUUCUAAAAUCAGCCGUGUGUGUGAGAGUCUUACAGUCUGCAUGGCAUUACUGUACACUAAACAGCAUGAACACAU